RNAcentral lists this small RNA (28 nucleotides) under Bombyx mori (domestic silkworm). Its description in RNAcentral is "piRNA piR-bmo-1676734". Lineage: Eukaryota; Metazoa; Arthropoda; Insecta; Lepidoptera; Bombycidae. The record is from RNAcentral.
UAACAAGCAUGUGGUAAUUUCAUUAGUA